This 1033-nucleotide ribosomal RNA is filed under the name Phocaeicola vulgatus. RNAcentral's name for it is "partial 16S ribosomal RNA". The record is from RNAcentral. Lineage: Bacteria; Pseudomonadati; Bacteroidota; Bacteroidia; Bacteroidales; Bacteroidaceae.
CCCCCCAUUGUAACACGUGUGUAGCCCCGGACGUAAGGGCCGUGCUGAUUUGACGUCAUCCCCACCUUCCUCACAUCUUACGAUGGCAGUCUUGUCAGAGUCCUCAGCAAAACCUGUUAGUAACUGACAACAAGGGUUGCGCUCGUUAUGGCACUUAAGCCGACACCUCACGGCACGAGCUGACGACAACCAUGCAGCACCUUCACAGAUGCCUUGCGGCUUACGGCUUUCACCGUAAUUCAUCUGCAAUUUAAGCCCGGGUAAGGUUCCUCGCGUAUCAUCGAAUUAAACCACAUGUUCCUCCGCUUGUGCGGGCCCCCGUCAAUUCCUUUGAGUUUCACCGUUGCCGGCGUACUCCCCAGGUGGAAUACUUAACGCUUUCGCUUGGCCGCUUGCAGUAUAUCGCAAACAGCGAGUAUUCAUCGUUUACCGUGUGGACUACCAGGGUAUCUAAUCCUGUUUGAUACCCACACUUUCGAGCCUCAAUGUCAGUUGCAGCUUAGCAGGCUGCCUUCGCAAUCGGAGUUCUUCGUGAUAUCUAAGCAUUUCACCGCUACACCACGAAUUCCGCCUGCCUCAACUGCACUCAAGAUAUCCAGUAUCAACUGCNAAUUUUACGGUUGAGCCGCAAACUUUCACAACUGACUUAAACAUCCAUCUACGCUCCCUUUAAACCCAAUAAAUCCGGAUAACGCUCGGAUCCUCCGUAUUACCGCGGCUGCUGGCACGGAGUUAGCCGAUCCUUAUUCAUAAAGUACAUGCAAACGGGUAUACAUACCCGACUUUAUUCCUUUAUAAAAGAAGUUUACAACCCAUAGGGCAGUCAUCCUUCACGCUACUUGGCUGGUUCAGGCUCUCGCCCAUUGACCAAUAUUCCUCACUGCUGCCUCCCGUAGGAGUUUGGACCGUGUCUCAGUUCCAAUGUGGGGGACCUUCCUCUCAGAACCCCUAUCCAUCGAAGACUAGGUGGGCCGUUACCCCGCCUACUAUCUAAUGGAACGCAUCCCCAUCGUCUACCGGAAUACCUUUAAUC